Molecule: ribosomal RNA, 353 nt
Filed under: Macroderes endroedyi
Lineage: Eukaryota; Metazoa; Arthropoda; Insecta; Coleoptera; Scarabaeidae
Description: partial large subunit ribosomal RNA
Source: RNAcentral
UUUUGAUUAUAAUUUAAAGUCUAACCUGCCCUAUGAUUUAUUAUUAAAUGGCCGCGAUAUUUUGAUCGUGCAAAGGUAGCAUAAUAAUUAGUUUUUUAAUUGAGAACUGGUAUGAAUGGUUGAACGAGAAAAAAGCUGUCUCAAUUUAAUUUAAAUUAGAAUUUUAUUUUUAAGUUAAAAAGCUUAAAUAUUUUUAAAAGACGAGAAGACCCUAUAGAGUUUUAUAUAAAUUAUUAUUUUAAAAAAUUUUAGAAUUUUAAAUUUAAUUAUAAUAAUUUAUAUUUAAUUGGGGUGAUUAAAAAAUUUAAAGAACUUUUUUUAAAUUUAAACAUAAAUUUAUGAAUAAAUGAUCC